AACGCGAAGAACCUUACCAGGGCUUGACAUCCUCUGAAUGGGUGUGAAAGCAUCAGUUCCCCGCAAGGGGACAGAGAGACAGGUGCUGCAUGGCUGUCGUCAGCUCGUGUCGUGAGAUGUAGUGGUUAAGUCCCGCAACGAGCGCAACCCUCACCCAAUGUUGCUAGCAUGCCGGAGUUAGGGGUAGAAAUACUCUUAACAGGUGAUGAGAACUCUUUGGGAACUGCCCGUGUGAGCGGGAGGAAGGCGGGAUGACGUCAAGUCAGCAUGGCCCUUACGUCCUGGGCUACACACAUGCUACAAUGGGCGCUACAAAGGGAAGCAAGAGCGCAAGCUUAAGCAAAUCUCAAAAAAGCGUCCUCAGUACAGAUUGGGGUCUGCAACUCGACCCCAUGAAGGCGGAAUCGCUAGUAACCGUCGAUCAGCAAUGCGACGGUGAAUACGUUCCCGGGCCUUGUACACACCGAUAGC
This 471-nucleotide ribosomal RNA is filed under the name uncultured bacterium. RNAcentral's name for it is "bacterial SSU rRNA". It matches the Rfam family "Bacterial small subunit ribosomal RNA", at positions 958 to 1397 of the family's 1533-position model. The record is from RNAcentral.